Chiroxiphia lanceolata (lance-tailed manakin) is the source of this 1405-nucleotide long non-coding RNA. RefSeq lists it as uncharacterized. The record is from RefSeq and is a predicted model, not a curated record. NCBI's taxonomy places the organism in Eukaryota, Metazoa, Chordata, Aves, Passeriformes, Pipridae. The transcript is spliced from 3 exons.
CCGCGGGAGCGGGAGGAGCGGAAUCCCUUCCCUGAGGGGCUCCGUGUCCGUGUGUGCCCACGGCGGAGGGACAGCGAGGGCUUGGAAUCCAGGGCCGUGGCGGUUGUUCGUGUUUCUAACACGAAACGCCCCUCAAGACGUAAUUCGGCUCCUUUAAACCGAGGGGUGGGAUGGGUUUGAAUUAGUUUGUGUAUGAUGGGUUUGAAUUAGUUUGUGAGGUAAGACGUAAAUAAAUCCUUUCUUACUCCUUUCACAAUAGCUUAGGAAGGUUGGUGUCGUAUAAACCCUGUACACUGGAAGGGCUACGUAAAAAAAAAAAAAAAGAAGGGAUAUUACACCAAAAAAUGGCAAAGAAGUAUUUUUCUCACACGAACUUAUGAAAAGUAUUCCUUGUCUCCGAGCCUGUCUGAACUGUGGCAUUUAUCGAGAAGGCUUUUCUGGUUCAUCUCUGUUGGAGCAGCUUUCCUUGGAACCGGCAAGAGAUGAGCACAGCCCUUACAGCUCGCUGCUGGUACACCUGAUACUACUGUAGGAUUCUUCCUUUGAAGGGUGUCUGGAGUAGACACUCAGGAGUGGGAUUGUGUUCAGCUGUGUGUGGUUCAGGUGUGUUUACAGCCAGGAGAGGCCAGAGAGGCUGCAACUGGGAAGAAUCAGGAACUGAUGGAACUGGGUUGUGUGGCCAUAGUCAGGGGGCAGAGAAAAUUAAACCUCUUGGAGCAAAUGUGAAAGGAAAAGCUGGAGGAAAUUUGCCAGUUUUUAUAUUGGGGUUUUCUGAUAGAUAUUACUUAAGUCUUGGUGUAGAAGCGUGAAGGCAGGGUGCGGAUAAAAUGAAGGGGGAAAUUUAAGCCGUCAGCUCCAAUGAAGGAUGAUGCUGUAAUAUGGGCAGAAAAGCUCUGUCAGAUUAUUUUGGUUUGCACCCUGGUGAAGCCUGUGACAGCACUGCAUACUCAAUGAUCUUGAUGUGCUGCCAUUUCAUUCAGUGCUGAAUGCAGCCAAUUCGAGCUGCUAGAAUUUCUUGAUGUCCUACAUUGGCAUUCUGAGUCAGCAUCUUGUCGCUGCUCCAGCUUAAUUAAAUUUGCCAGUUGUGCCACGGGGAUGGACACAUCCCUGUAUCCAGAGAGACAGCUGUGAAGUGUUAUUAAGAGCUGUGGAUGUGAUACUGCUGGGUUUGAAUGACACUAGAGAUGUUUCCUACUGCUGAAAUAGUAUCUUAAAAAUAUGCUUUUUCCAAGAUCAGCAGUUAAUGUUCAUUUUGUCUGCCUUAAGUAUUUUCUCUCUUAAGAACAAUUAUUUUAAAUAGAGCAGGGCUGAGCUGGUUGGCCUUCAUGUACUGGAGUGGUUUUAAGAACCAGCUUUGUUGUUGUUAGGGCAGCUGUGCCCCUUGCCCUGGCCUAAUGUCAUUUGU